UAGGGAAUAUUGCACAAUGGGCGCAAGCCUGAUGCAGCCAUGCCGCGUGUGUGAAGAAGGCCUUCGGGUUGUAAAGCACUUUCAGCGGGGAGGAAGGCGUUAAGGUUAAUAACCUUGGCGAUUGACGUUACCCGCAGAAGAAGCACCGGCUAACUCCGUGCCAGCAGCCGCGGUAAUACGGAGGGUGCAAGCGUUAAUCGGAAUUACUGGGCGUAAAGCGCACGCAGGCGGUUUGUUAAGUCAGAUGUGAAAUCCCCGGGCUUAACCCGGGAAUUGCAUCUGAUACUGGUCAGCUAGAGUCUUGUAGAGGGGGGUAGAAUUCCAUGUGUAGCGGUGAAAUGCGUAGAGAUGUGGAGGAAUACCGGUGGCGAAGGCGGCCCCCUGGACAAAGACUGACGCUCAGGUGCGAAAGCGUGGGGAGCAAACAGG
Molecule: ribosomal RNA, 429 nt
Filed under: Chloroflexota bacterium
Lineage: Bacteria; Bacillati; Chloroflexota
Description: Chloroflexi bacterium partial 16S ribosomal RNA
Rfam family: Bacterial small subunit ribosomal RNA
Source: RNAcentral